This 348-nucleotide ribosomal RNA is filed under the name Triticum aestivum (bread wheat). RNAcentral describes it as "partial small subunit ribosomal RNA". Lineage: Eukaryota; Viridiplantae; Streptophyta; Magnoliopsida; Poales; Poaceae. The record is from RNAcentral.
AUGCCCCUCGCCUUUCGCAUUUGCCUUUUGGUUUCGUUUUCUGUACGCCUCGUGCCAUCGCUGUACCCUGUAAAUAUUUUUCAGCAGAGAGCGCUCCCACCGGGUGUAGCGCUUUGUGUGAUGAGAAAUCUGUGUACGGCUCUCGGCUUUUUUUACGAGAAACGGAAAAUUGAUGGAACAAGGAUUGUGUGUCUUAUGAACACCAGAGGGCCGGUGUUCUUGCUUGCCUCUUGGAUGCCCCUAGCUUGUCUCUCCAGAUAUUUGUGGAGAAAGUUACUAUUUUUUUCUUCUUAUUUUACUCUUUCCAUGUAUGCCGUUGUACUAGCUAAUCUCAACAAGUGUUUCUGA